RNAcentral lists this ribosomal RNA (628 nucleotides) under uncultured rumen bacterium. Its description in RNAcentral is "bacterial SSU rRNA". It matches the Rfam family "Bacterial small subunit ribosomal RNA", at positions 48 to 690 of the family's 1533-position model. The record is from RNAcentral.
UUAACACAUGCAAGUCGAACGGAGAAUUUUUAGUUUACUGAGAAUUCUUAGUGGCGGACGGGUGAGUAACACGUGAGCAACCUGCCUCUGAGAGAGGGAUAGCUUCUGGAAACGGAUGGUAAUACCUCAUAACAUAACGAAGCCGCAUGACUUUGUUAUCAAAGAUUUAUCACUCAGAGAUGGGCUCGCGUCUGAUUAGAUAGUUGGUGAGGUAACGGCUCACCAAGUCGACGAUCAGUAGCCGGACUGAGAGGUUGAACGGCCACAUUGGGACUGAGACACGGCCCAGACUCCUACGGGAGGCAGCAGUGGGGAAUAUUGCACAAUGGGGGAAACCCUGAUGCAGCGAUGCCGCGUGGAGGAAGAAGGUUUUCGGAUUGUAAACUCCCUGUCUUAAAGGACGAUAAUGACGGUACUUUAGGAGGAAGCUCCGGCUAACUACGUGCCAGCAGCCGCGGUAAUACGUAGGGAGCGAGCGUUGUCCGGAAUUACUGGGUGUAAAGGGAGCGUANGCGGGACUGCAAGUCAGAUGUGAAAUACAUGGGCUUAACCCAUGGGCUGCAUUUGAAACUGUGGUUCUUGAGUGAAGUAAAGGCAAGCGGAAUUCCUGGUGUAGCGGUGAAAUGCG